UAUAGUAGAGAAUAGCCCGGCGAAAAGUCGGAUUAAUGCUCUAUGUUGUAUUUAGAAGACAUCUGAAGAAUACCAAAGGUUUACCGCUAUAGGAUGGGGAUGCGUCUGAUUAGGUAGUAGGCGGGGUAACGGCCCACCUAGCCGACGAUCAGUAGGGGUUCUGAGAGGAAGGUCCCCCACAUUGGAACUGAGACACGGUCCAAACUCCUACGGGAGGCAGCAGUGAGGAAUAUUGGUCAAUGGACGGAAGUCUGAACCAGCCAAGUAGCCGUGCAGGAUGACGGCCCUAUGGGUUGUAAACUGUCUUUUAUAUAGGGAUAAAGUCGGGGACGUGUCCCCGUCUGUAGGUACUAUAUGAAUAAGGACCGGCUAAUUCCGUGCCAGCCGCAGC
Molecule: ribosomal RNA, 391 nt
Filed under: uncultured bacterium
Lineage: Bacteria
Description: bacterial SSU rRNA
Rfam family: Bacterial small subunit ribosomal RNA
Source: RNAcentral